CCUACGGGAGGCAGCAGUGGGGAAUAUUGGACAAUGGGCGAAAGCCUGAUCCAGCAAUUCCGCGUGUGUGAAGAAGGCCUUCGGGUUGUAAAGCACUUUAGUGGGGGAAGAAACAGCUUGGCCACACCAAGCCUUGACGGUACCCCAAGAAUAAGCACCGGCUAACUCUGUGCCAGCAGCCGCGGUAAUACAGAGGGUGCAAGCGUUAAUCGGAUUUACUGGGCGUAAAGGGUGCGUAGGUGGCUAUUUAAGUCGGAUGUGAAAGCCCGGGGCUCAACCUCGGAAUUGCAUUCGAUACUGAGUGGCUAGAGUUCGGUAGAGGGCGGCGGAAUUUCCGGUGUAGCGGUGAAAUGCGUAGAUAUCGGAAGGAACAUCAAUGGCGAAGGCAGCCGCCUGGGCCUGGACUGACACUGAGGCACGAAAGCGUGGGUAGCAAACAGGAUUAGAUACCCUGGUAGUCCACGCCGUAAACGAUGAGAACUUGACGUUGGUCGUUUUACGAAUCGGUGUCGCNGCUACGACGAUAGUUACUCCGUCCGUCGGGUAGGUACGGCCGCGAGGUUAGGUAACGUACGAACGGAAAGUUAGACGGCGUGAGACGUGCCGACGGACGACGACGAGGGAGGUAGG
This 630-nucleotide ribosomal RNA is filed under the name uncultured bacterium. RNAcentral describes it as "bacterial SSU rRNA". The stretch from base 1 to 537 matches the Rfam family "Bacterial small subunit ribosomal RNA", at positions 338 to 873 of the family's 1533-position model. The record is from RNAcentral.